AAAUUGAAGAGUUUGAUCAUGGCUCAGAUUGAACGCUGGCGGCAGGCCUAACACAUGCAAGUCGAACGGUAACAGGAAGCAGCUUGCUGCUUUGCUGACGAGUGGCGGACGGGUGAGUAAUGUCUGGGAAACUGCCUGAUGGAGGGGGAUAACUACUGGAAACGGUGGCUAAUACCGCAUAACGUCGCAAGACCAAAGAGGGGGACCUUCGGGCCUCUUGCCAUCAGAUGUGCCCAGAUGGGAUUAGCUUGUUGGUGAGGUAACGGCUCACCAAGGCGACGAUCCCUAGCUGGUCUGAGAGGAUGACCAGCCACACUGGAACUGAGACACGGUCCAGACUCCUACGGGAGGCAGCAGUGGGGAAUAUUGCACAAUGGGCGCAAGCCUGAUGCAGCCAUGCCGCGUGUAUGAAGAAGGCCUUCGGGUUGUAAAGUACUUUCAGCGGGGAGGAAGGUGUUGUGGUUAAUAACCGCAGCAAUUGACGUUACCCGCAGAAGAAGCACCGGCUAACUCCGUGCCAGCAGCCGCGGUAAUACGGAGGGUGCAAGCGUUAAUCGGAAUUACUGGGCGUAAAGCGCACGCAGGCGGUCUGUCAAGUCGGAUGUGAAAUCCCCGGGCUCAACCUGGGAACUGCAUUCGAAACUGGCAGGCUUGAGUCUUGUAGAGGGGGGUAGAAUUCCAGGUGUAGCGGUGAAAUGCGUAGAGAUCUGGAGGAAUACCGGUGGCGAAGGCGGCCCCCUGGACAAAGACUGACGCUCAGGUGCGAAAGCGUGGGGAGCAAACAGGAUUAGAUACCCUGGUAGUCCACGCCGUAAACGAUGUCUACUUGGAGGUUGUGCCCUUGAGGCGUGGCUUCCGGAGCUAACGCGUUAAGUAGACCGCCUGGGGAGUACGGCCGCAAGGUUAAAACUCAAAUGAAUUGACGGGGGCCCGCACAAGCGGUGGAGCAUGUGGUUUAAUUCGAUGCAACGCGAAGAACCUUACCUGGUCUUGACAUCCACGGAAGAAUUCAGAGAUGGAUUUGUGCCUUCGGGAACCGUGAGACAGGUGCUGCAUGGCUGUCGUCAGCUCGUGUUGUGAAAUGUUGGGUUAAGUCCCGCAACGAGCGCAACCCUUAUCCUUUGUUGCCAGCGUCGGUCGGGAACUCAAAGGAGACUGCCAGUGAUAAACUGGAGGAAGGUGGGGAUGACGUCAAGUCAUCAUGGCCCUUACGACCAGGGCUACACACGUGCUACAAUGGCGCAUACAAAGAGAAGCGACCUCGCGAGAGCAAGCGGACCUCAUAAAGUGCGUCGUAGUCCGGAUUGGAGUCUGCAACUCGACUCCAUGAAGUCGGAAUCGCUAGUAAUCGUGGAUCAGAAUGCCACGGUGAAUACGUUCCCGGGCCUUGUACACACCGCCCGUCACACCAUGGGAGUGGGUUGCAAAAGAAGUAGGUAGCUUAACCUUCGGGAGGGCGCUUACCACUUUGUGAUUCAUGACUGGGGUGAAGUCGUAACAAGGUAACCGUAGGGGAACCUGCGGUUGGAUCACCUCCUUACCUUAAAGAAGC
Molecule: ribosomal RNA, 1552 nt
Filed under: Salmonella enterica subsp. enterica serovar Montevideo str. IA_2010008285
Lineage: Bacteria; Pseudomonadati; Pseudomonadota; Gammaproteobacteria; Enterobacterales; Enterobacteriaceae
Description: bacterial SSU rRNA
Rfam family: Bacterial small subunit ribosomal RNA
Source: RNAcentral